GAAAGCGUAGCUCAGAUGGUAGAGCGCUCGCUUAUCAUGCGGGAGGUUCGGGAAUCGAUACUCCGCGCCUCCA
Molecule: transfer RNA, 73 nt
Filed under: Trichonephila clavipes
Lineage: Eukaryota; Metazoa; Arthropoda; Arachnida; Araneae; Nephilidae
Rfam family: tRNA
About the family: Transfer RNA (tRNA) molecules are approximately 80 nucleotides in length.
Source: Rfam by way of RNAcentral